UGAUCUUGACAUCGUGGGAAUCCUGCCGAAGGGUGGGAGUGCCUUAGGGAGCCCAUAGACAGGUGCUGCAUGGCUGUCGUCAGCUCGUGUCGUGAGAUGUUGGGUUAAGUCCCGCAACGAGCGCAACCCUUGUCCUUUGUUGCCAGCUGGUAAUGCAGGGAACUCAAAGGAGACUGCCAGUGACAAACUGGAGGAAGGCAGGGAUGACGUCAAGUCAUCAUGGCCCUUACGAUCAGGGCUACACACGUGCUACAAUGGGGCGUACAGAGGGAGACAAAGCCGCGAGGUGGAGUGGAACCCAGAAAGCGUCCCGAAGUUCGGAUUGGAGUCUGCAACUCGGCUCCAUGAAGUCGGAAUCGCUAGUAAUCGCGAAUCAGAAUGUCGCGGUGAAUACGUUCCCGGGCC
RNAcentral lists this ribosomal RNA (405 nucleotides) under uncultured bacterium. RNAcentral describes it as "bacterial SSU rRNA". It matches the Rfam family "Bacterial small subunit ribosomal RNA", at positions 976 to 1380 of the family's 1533-position model. The record is from RNAcentral.